RNAcentral lists this ribosomal RNA (253 nucleotides) under uncultured bacterium. RNAcentral describes it as "partial 16S ribosomal RNA". It matches the Rfam family "Bacterial small subunit ribosomal RNA", at positions 524 to 776 of the family's 1533-position model. The record is from RNAcentral.
UACAGAGGUCUCAAGCGUUGUUCGGAUUCAUUGGGCGUAAAGGGUGCGUAGGUGGCGCGCUAAGUCGGGUGUGAAAUUUCGGAGCUUAACUCCGAAACUGCAUUCGAUACUGCGGUGCUUGAGGACUGGAGAGGAGACUGGAAUUCAUGGUGUAGCAGUGAAAUGCGUAGAGAUCAUGAGGAAGACCAGUGGCGAAGGCGGGUCUCUGGACAGUUCCUGACACUGAGACACGAAGGCCAGGGGAGCAAACGGG